CCUAAGAUAGGCAAGUCGAACGGUAACUGGUAGCAACAGAUAUGAGAGUGGCGUACGGGUGCGUAACGCGUACACAACCUGCCUUGUACUGGGGGAUAGCCUCGGGAACCUGAGAUUAAUAGGACCUAAUUUUACGAUGUGGCAUCAACGGGGUAAUUAACGCUCCGGCGGUACAAGAUGGGUGUGCGUCCGAUUAGGUAGUUGGUGAGGUAACGGCUCACCAAGCCGACGAUCGGUAGCUGGUCUGAGAGGACGAUCAGGGACCCGGGCACUGAGACACGGGCCAGACUCCUACGGGAGGCAGCAGUAGGGAAUAUUGGACAAUGGACGCAAGUCUGAUCCAGCCAUCCAGCGUGAAGGAUUAAGGCCAUCUGGGUUGUAACCUUCUUUUCUUUGGGAAUAACAAGCGGUAUUCAUAUCGCCUUGAAGGUACCAGGGGAAUAAGCACCGGCUAACUCCGUGCCAGCAGCCGCGGUAACAGAGGAGGGUGCAAGCGUUAUCCGGAUUCACUGGGUUUAACGGGUGCGUAGGUGGUCUGUUAAGUCAGCGGUGAACGCCUGGAGUUCAACUCCAGAAUUGCACGGGGACAGAUGACGGACUUGAAUCAAGUUGAGGUGGAUGGAAUAUGAUAGGUAGCGGUGAACUGCUUAGAUAUGUAAUAGAACACCGAUUGCGAAGGCAGUUCACUAAGCUUGACGGGGACACUGAGGCACGAACGCGUGGGGAUCAACCAGGAUUAGACA
This 743-nucleotide ribosomal RNA is filed under the name uncultured bacterium. Its description in RNAcentral is "bacterial SSU rRNA". It matches the Rfam family "Bacterial small subunit ribosomal RNA", at positions 47 to 784 of the family's 1533-position model. The record is from RNAcentral.